RNAcentral lists this long non-coding RNA (304 nucleotides) under Lathyrus oleraceus (garden pea). Its description in RNAcentral is "Pisum sativum (pea) long non-coding RNA (PSAT_LNC017230)". The record is from RNAcentral. Lineage: Eukaryota; Viridiplantae; Streptophyta; Magnoliopsida; Fabales; Fabaceae.
AAAAAAUCACCUUAUUUAAAGGGUUGAAAGAGCUUGUUAGAGUUGUGUGGUUGAAUUAGCAUUAAUAUAGUUGUAAUGUUUCAAGGUUUGACAUAAAAAAAGAAGAAAAAAAGAAGAAAAGAAAUAAGGAAGAAAACUCUUGUCCUUAUUGUAUUCCUUCUGAAAGAAAAAAAAGUAAAUAAAAAUAAAAAGAGAAAAGAGAAUAGAAAACGCAAAAGUGUUGUUUGAAAGUGAAUGAAAUAUUUUUAGUUCAACUCACACAACUCUUUUCAAUUUUCUUUUGACCCUUUGAAUUUUAGCCUAG